GAUGAACGCUAGCUACAGGCUUAACACAUGCAAGUCGAGGGGAAACGAUAUUGGAAGCUUGCUUCCGAUAGGCGUCGACCGGCGCACGGGUGAGUAACGCGUAUCCAACCCGCCCAUCACUUGGGGAUAACCUUGCGAAAGUAAGACUAAUACCCAAUGACGUCUCUAGAAGACAUCUGAAAGAGAUUAAAGAUUUAUCGGUGAUGGAGGGGGAUGCGUCUGAUUAGCUUGUUGGCGGGGUAACGGCCCACCAAGGCGACGAUCAGUAGGGGUUCUGAGAGGAAGGUCCCCCACAUUGGAACUGAGACACGGUCCAAACUCCUACGGGAGGCAGCAGUGAGGAAUAUUGGUCAAUGGGCGAGAGCCUGAACCAGCCAAGUAGCGUGCAGGAUGACGGCCCUAUGGGUUGUAAACUGCUUUUAUAAGGGAAUAAAGUGGGAGUCGUGACUCCUUUUGCAUGUACCUUAUGAAUAAGGACCGGCUAAUUCCGUGCCAGCCGCCGCAGUAA
Molecule: ribosomal RNA, 508 nt
Filed under: uncultured bacterium
Lineage: Bacteria
Description: partial 16S ribosomal RNA
Rfam family: Bacterial small subunit ribosomal RNA
Source: RNAcentral